RNAcentral lists this ribosomal RNA (493 nucleotides) under uncultured bacterium. RNAcentral's name for it is "partial 16S ribosomal RNA". It matches the Rfam family "Bacterial small subunit ribosomal RNA", at positions 28 to 506 of the family's 1533-position model. The record is from RNAcentral.
GACGAACGCUGGCGGCGUGCUUAACACAUGCAAGUCGAACGGUGAAGCGCCUUCCUUUUUGGUGGGUGUGGAUGAGUGGCGAACGGGUGAGUAACACGUGAGUAACCUGCCCCCUUCUUCUGGAUAACCGCAUGAAAGUGUGGCUAAUACGGGAUAUUCUGGGUCUGUCGCAUGAUGGGUCUGGGAAAGAUAUUGUUUCGGUGGGGGAUGGGCUCGCGGCCUAUCAGCUUGUUGGUGGGGUGAUGGCCUACCAAGGCGGUGACGGGUAGCCGGCCUGAGAGGGUGGACGGUCACACUGGGACUGAGACACGGCCCAGACUCCUACGGGAGGCAGCAGUGGGGAAUAUUGCACAAUGGGCGCAAGCCGGAUGCAGCGACGCCGCGUGAGGGAUGGAGGCCUUCGGGUGGGGAGCCUCUUUCGCCAGUGAAGCAGGCCUGCCUCGUUUGUGGGUGGGUUGACGGGAGCUGGAUAAGAAGCGCCGGAGAACUACGU